RNAcentral lists this long non-coding RNA (7176 nucleotides) under Vigna radiata. RNAcentral describes it as "long non-coding RNA (VRAD_LNC003255)". The record is from RNAcentral. Lineage: Eukaryota; Viridiplantae; Streptophyta; Magnoliopsida; Fabales; Fabaceae.
AAAAAUUUGUGCAACAAUGCCUGAACCUUGAUCCAUCAUUGCUCAGGUUCAUUCGACUCUUCACCCCGCUGGGUGUGGAGGAGGAGGGAUUGCAGUUGUAUGUUGGGUACUUGAAGAAAGUGAUUGCAAUGAGGUCAAGAAUGGAGUUUGAGCAAUUGGUGGAGACAAUGGAUCAGCGUAAUGUCAAUUUUGUUGGUUGUUUGACCAAUUUGUUCAAGGACAUUGUGUUGGCGAUUGAGGAGAACAGUGAGAUCUUGAGUGGUCUUUGUGGGGAGGAUGGUAUUGUAUAUGCCAUCUGUGAGCUUCAGGAGGAGUGUGAUUCUCGCGGUUCUGUGAUUUUGAACAAGUAUAUGGAGUAUAGGAAGUUGGCUAAGUUGUCCUCUGAGAUAAAUGCUCACAACACUAAUUUGCUUGCUGUUGGAGGAGGUACUGAGGGUCCUGACCCACGAGAGGUUGAGUUAUAUUUGGAGGAGAUUCUCUCCCUUAUGCAGCUUGGUGAAGAUUACACUGAAUUCAUGAUUUCAAAGAUCAAAGGGCUUACUUCUGUUGACCCUGAGUUGCUUCCCCGUGCCACCAGAGCUUUUCGGAGUGGCAGUUUCAGCAAGGUUGCACAAGAUUUAACUGGAUUUUAUGUGAUUUUGGAGGGAUUUUUCAUGUUGGAAAACGUCAGGAAAGCAAUAAGGAUUGAUGAACACGUGCCUGACAGCCUUACCACUUCUAUGGUGGAUGAUGUAUUUUAUGUAUUGCAGAGUUGCCUGCGGAGGGCAAUAUCCACUUCCAAUAUCAGUUCUGUUGUUGCCGUUUUGAGUGGUGCCAGCAGCUUACUCGGUAAUGAAUAUAAUGAAGCCUUGCAGCAAAAAAUAAGAGAGCCAAACCUUGGUGCAAAGUUGUUCUUUGGUGGCGUUGGUGUGCAAAAGACAGGGACAGAAAUUGCAACAGCUUUGAAUAAUAUGGAUGUUAGCAGUGAGUAUGUUCUGAAGCUAAAACAUGAAAUUGAAGAACAGUGUGCUGAGGUGAGUGUUGUAUAUUUUUGGUACCUUACAAUUGUAUAUCACUAAUGAGAUUCAUUAAAUUUUGAAUUAUGAGCAGUAAGUAUAGUUGGCACACCCUUGCCUUAUUCAUUGUUUGCCUGGGGUCCCAUUAUGAGGUAAUUUUAGGUUCCUAGGUUAGGGAUUAUUCAUAAAAUGUUUUUGUGCAGUUUAUGUCAUUUAAUUUGUACAGGAUUUAGUUCUGAAUUUCUGUAACAUGAUUUAGAGUUUUAUGUGAUAUGUACAAAUCUUGGAUAAAAUUAUAGACUGUAUAGGAUAAACCAAUUUCAAGAUUGACAUUUUUGCAACUUCAAAACCACAGAUUGAGGAUGCUUCUGUCCUUAGUGUUGAUGUUGAUGAAUACACAGUUUAAUUUGUAGUAAUCCUCUCUGUAACAUGAAUAUUGAGACAAUUGAUUAAAAGAAUGCACUUGAAGCAUGAUUUAGAAAAUCAGAAAUUGUAGCAUUGAUUUUGCCUGAUGAACUAUGUACAUCGGUUUCCCCUGAAUGUUGUGAUGAAUACAUGUUCAAAUUUAUAGCAACCCUUCUGUUAACAUUAAUACGGAGAUUGUUGAUUAGAAAAGUGCAAUCAAAGUAUGGUUUAGAAAUUCAAAAAUUUUUGUAUUGAUGAUUUCACUUUAUGAACUAUUUUCCAUUUUAAACUAGAUGUUUCUUCAGACAUUCGAGUUUGCUAAUUGAAUAUUUCAUAUUUGUCUUUAGCUUUGUCAACUGCUCCUCCUUCAUUUUUAAAUGAAAAGAAUGUAGCUGGAACAGACUUACAGACUAUUUAUUUUCGAGAACUGUUUCUCAAUUUAUACAGCGCUAUGUCAAUUUGUCCUUUGUUGCUUUGCCCAUAUAAUAUACAAGUUUAAAGUUGCAGAAUUAACGGACUGAAUAACUUCAUGAAGGUGUUUCCUGCACUAGCUGAUCGAGAAAGGGUAAAAUCUUGUUUGACUGAGUUGGCAGAUAGCAGCAAUGCUUUCAAGCAAGCUUUGACUGCUGGCAUAGAACAACUUGUGUCAACCAUUACACCUCGAUUAAGACCAAUAUUAGACAGCGUUGGAACAAUUAGCUAUGAGCUUUCGGAGGCUGAGUAUGCAAAUAAUGAGGUGAAUGAUCCAUGGGUUCAGAGACUUCUCCAUGCUGUUGAGACGAAUGUGGCAUGGCUGCAGCCACUAAUGACAGCUAACAAUUAUGACACGUUUGUUCAUUUGAUUAUUGACUUCAUUGUGAAAAGGCUAGAAGUUAUUAUGAUGCAAAAAAGAUUUAGUCAACUUGGCGGUCUUCAACUUGACCGAGAUGCUAGAGCUUUGGUAAGUCACUUCAGUGUCAUGACACAGAGAACUGUCAGAGACAAGUUUGCACGUCUUACUCAAAUGGCAACAAUUCUAAAUUUAGAAAAGGUUUCUGAGAUUCUAGAUUUCUGGGGUGAGAACUCUGGACCUAUGACCUGGAGAUUAACUCCAGCAGAAGUUAGGCGUGUAUUGGGUCUGCGGAUUGAUUUUAAACCAGAAGCAAUAGCUGCUGUGAAGUUGUAAUAUCGGUUUAUAUGGUCUCUUCACAUUCUUUUCUUUCUUUCUACUUUAAUUUUUCAUCUGAUAAGUAUUACAGAUUCAUUCUUACUACUUUUGGUGUUUGGUAAGUUAACUUACAGUUUCAUUAUACGACUCACAUUGUUAGCUUCAAAGGCAAAAUAAUAGGCACAGAGUAUUCAGAUUUGCCGCCCCAGAGGCCAAGAUAUUACUCGUAUAGUGUAAAAUGGUCUUUGUUCCUGAAUAUCCACUUUCCAAUUUUGAAUUUUUGAAUAUUUUUCUGUAAAUCAAUUUGAGACAUAGUUCAUGCGUGUUUAGUAUAAAGUUCAGUAAACAUUUCACUUCCAAACAACUUUUUCUUGCGUUUCGUUGCGGAAUAUACGAAUGUUGCGGAAUUAAUUGUUAUUUAAAUAAUGAUGCUGACAAAGUCCAACGUAUCAUUUUACGCACUUCUGUAAUCACAUCAUUGGUGAGUAAACAAUGCUAGCAUGAGUAAACAAUCAUUGGUGAAAAACAAUGCUAUAACCUAACACAAGAAGAAACCAGAUAAAUGGUGGAAGAGGCAAACACUCAAAACUGAAGAAGUUUAAUUUACAAAUUGUAAAAAAAGAAGUUUAAUUUACAAAUCUUAUACUACUGAAAAACACAUAAUACAUGCGUAUCUUUGUUGACAAUUAUAUUUGUGUCUACAUAACUUCUAGAGAAUAAAGAUUAUUAUGGUUCACUUUGUAUGGUAAAUUAUCUCAAUUUAUUAGGAAAGAACUUUGAUAGUGAGAAUUUAUUUUAUAAAAUAUAGUUAAAUAUAUUUUUAAUUCAUAAAUUUAGAUACAAGAUUGAAAUUCAUCUUUAUUUCAUUUUGAUAUAGUUUGAUUCUUAAACUUUAUAAAUGAAAAGAUACCGUCUUUGUAACUUAACAUUGUGAAUUUUUUUUUGUUAGACUGCAUUUCAUAUUAACAUUAUUAGGUUAAAAGGAUUUUAUAUUUUAAAAACUAAGAUGUAUCAAAAUUUAGAAGAGUAAUAAAUUUAAAUUUUAUGUUCUAGCAUUAGCCACACUUUUGAAAUGCUUUACAAAGUUUAAAGUGUAUAGAUUGCAUAAACAUUAAAAGAAAAACACACAAGAAAGGUGAUUGUCUUUAAAGAAUCAAGACGAAGUUUAUAUGUGAAGAAUUUGUUGUAAUUCAAAUUUUAAAAUCCUAAAUACAAAUUGAGAAUUUUUUAAAAUUGAGAUCGUAGUUAAGUUUAAAUCAUAAGUAUUUUAGUAAAUUUAAAUUUUAGUGAACCACAUAUUACUUAUUAAAGUAAUUCAAUGUCAUAAAAUUUAAAAAUAAUUGACUACUGUGCAAAAAUCUCUAUUACAAAUUCAAUCCAAUAUUCAAAAUUAGAGUAAAUUACAUUAUAUCAACACUUAACCGAACUCGAUCAUAUAAAACUGAGUUCAGGAUAAAUCAUGACUAUACCAAGAGGAGGACACCGCGUGGAUAUGGAAUUCAUGCUCCACUAGAAGAUACUCAUUGAAAAAAUUAUAUGAGUCCAAUAGAAUAGUAGAUGGCUGGUAUAAUUGCAACAAAGGACAAAUAAAAAAUGAUUGGAAAAUAUCAUUGUUGACACUAGUUCUGAGAAUACUAACAAAUAUAUAAGGAAAGAAAAAACAAAACUUCAACCAAAAGAAAAAUCCUCUUUAUAUUUUAUGGAGGGCAUUGUGUCGUAAUGUUUGAUUUCUAGAAACUAUAAGAAUAAGAACAUGAAUCUAAAUCUGAAAACUCCAAGCAGAUACAUGAAUCUAAAUCAAGAACCUCGUCAAUCUUCUUCUCUAUGGCCUUCAGCUCUUGUUCACUGGCUAAUUUGUUCUCAAACAUGUAUUUCUUCAACGCAGAGAUGGGAUCCCUAUCAGCAUAGUGUGCCUUCUCAGCUGACAAAGCACGUACAGAUGGUGGUAACAAUUACCAUGAACUUGGCAGACACAACACUAAUAGAAGAAAGAAAACUACGGAAAGAUGUGACUCAUUUUCAUCAUGGCAUGAAUAUCCUGACUUGUUGAAAUUAGUAAUGUUGUAAAAUAUUAUUAUUUUAUUGCAAUAGUUUUGGAACGUUGGCUUUAAGAAUUUUGCAACGUUCAUAAUGCAACGUUCAUAAUGCAACGGUCAUAAUGCAACGGUCAUAAUGCAACUGUAGCAACGUUUAGAAUCUUGCAACGGUCUUUUUUUUUCAUGUUUAUAAAUAUAUCAUCCAUUUCAUUCCAAGUGUACUGCAAAAAACACAUUUUCAAUCUCUAUUUUCUCUCUUUGAUUUCCUUUGUUCUGUCUUAUUCUCUAAUUCUCGCAAGCCUGGAAAUAGGGGAGCUUUCUUCUCCUUCUUCGUUUGUUUUUCCCUCUCGUUCGUGCAAGGAAGAUGGUCUGGUGGUGGCGAGAAUCGACGGCGCUACGAAGGCGCGACUCAAGCUUGUUCUCGCCUUCGAUGGCGGUUCGCAGUGGACUUCCAGGGUCCUUCAUUGUGCGGAUGGACCUUCUCCUUUUCCCUUUCUUGUUCUGGCUCGCGAUGUAAGACAAGAGGGCGUUCUCGUGGUGGUCGAGAUCGCGGAAGCUCCCUCUUUUUGAAGCAACCAACGACGGUAAUCUGUUAUUGCAUUGGGGUUUCUGAUCUUUCUUCUGACUUGGGAAUUCUCUUUUAGGAGCUCUGUUCUUGCUUUCUCAAAUUGUGUUUUGGGGUCAAAGUUCUGCUUUGGAAAAAUCUUGUGAUCUUGAUUCCGUAAUGUUUCAGUUGGGGUUGAUGAUCGAGAAUUUGGGGGUUAUGGCUUUCAGAUUCUGUUUUGGAAUUGGGGUCCCUGUUUUGAGUUUAUGACCUCAGGGUUUGAGUGUAGGGUGUUUGAGUUAAAUUUCUGGGUUUUCUUUUCUUCGCAAUUACGGACUGUUGGUGAUGGUUGUGCGAAAUAGGGCAGGUCUGGAGGACUCAUAAUCAUAAUCUAUUGUUUUAAUUAAUGGUGUGAGAAAGAUGGGGACUACGCCUGAGGCCAACGCGAGUAAUGUAGUGGACGAAGAAACACUCGGCGACUACAUGCUCUCUAACGUGGCUUCCAACUCCGACCUCGCUGACCAGGGUCAGUCAGCAGCAGCGCUCCUCCGCAUUCCAACUCCCUCGAAGGCGGCCACAGUGCCCUCGAGGCUCAUAGUCUGCCUCCCGCGAAUUGUAAGGAAUGAUUGUUUUUUUUUUCUUCUAUAUCUUAAAUUAUGGGAGUAAUGCAUAUACAUAUAUAUUACAGAUAUGAGCACAACUUUUUCGCUGGAAUCCUGUCAUCCAAUUGCAAAUUGUUAAUAUUUGAUGAGUUUGUCCACUUUCACAUUUGUUAAUUUAAUACUCAUUCAUACCAUAACUUUUCUGUUUGUAUAAUAAUGUGUACAUAUAGUUUUUGCAAUGAGUGCGCAGAAAUUGAACUUGAAAUUAUGUUAUGAAAAGUUAAGAGAAAAAAAAAAAAAAAAAACUUGUGCCACAGGGCCUGAACCUUGAUCCAUCAUUGCUAAGGUUUAUUCGACUCUUCACCCCGCUGGGUGUGGAGGAGGGGAGGGAUUGCAGUUGUAUGUUGGGUACAGUCUCUUGAGUGAUUGAAGAAUGGAGUUUGAGCAAUUGGGGAGAAUAGUGAGAUCUUGAGUGGUCUUUGUGGCUUCAGGAGGAGUGUGAUUCUCGCGGUUCUGUGAUUUUGAACAAGUAUAAGGAGUAUAGGAAGUUGGCUAAGUUGUCCUCUGAGAUAAUGCUCACGAGAGGUAGAGAUAUAUUUGGAGGAGAUUCUCUCCCUUAUGCAGCUUGGUGAUUACACUGAAUUCAUGAUUUCAAAGAUCAAAGGGCACUUCUGUUGAUCCUGAGUUGCUUCCCCGUGCAGAGCUUUAGGAGUGGCAAUAUCAGCAAGUUGUGACCCUGAGUUGCUUCUGUUAACUGGAUUUUAUGUGAUUUUGGAGGGAUUUACACGUCAGGAAAGCAAUAAGGAUUGAUGAACACGUGCCUUUACUUCUUUACCACUUACUUCUAUGGUGUAUGAUGUAUUUUAUGUAUUGCACAGUUGCCUGCGGAGGGCAAUAUCCACUUCCAAUAUCAGUUCUGUUGUUGCCGUUUUGAGUGGUGCCAGCAUUUUACUCGGUAAUGAAUAUAAUGAAAUAUAAUAUGGACAGCAAAAAAUAAGAGAGCCUUGGUGCAAAGUUGUUAUUUGGUGGCGUUGGUGUGCAAAAGACAGAAAUUGCAACAUAUGGAUGUUCUGAAGCUAAAACAUGAAAUUGAAGACCAGUGUGCUGAGGUGAGUAUAGUUGGCACAUCAUUAUGAGGUAAUUUUAGGUUCCUAGGUUAUGAAGACCAGUGUUUGUGCAGUUUGUGUCAUUUAAUUUGUACAGGAUUUAGUUUUGAAUUUCUCUAACAUGAUUUAGAGUUUUAUAGACUGUAUAGGAUAAAACCAAUUUCAAGAUUGACAUUUUUUGCAACUUCAAAACCUCAAAACCACACAGAUUGAGGAUGCUUCUGUCCUUAGUUUAUAAUGUAUAUGUAGGUCAUUUUCUUUAUUUUUAUGUAUACACAAGUUUAUGCUACUACGGGAGAAUAAAGAUUAUUACGGUUCACUUUGUAUGAUAAAUAUUAGGA